This 85-nucleotide small RNA is filed under the name Escherichia coli 908658. RNAcentral's name for it is "QUAD RNA". It matches the Rfam family "Short Intergenic Abundant RNA", at positions 49 to 137 of the family's 147-position model. Rfam says of the family: This family contains multiple ncRNA from E. coli that were identified in a large scale screen of E. coli, were they were called candidates 43,55 and 61. The record is from RNAcentral. Lineage: Bacteria; Pseudomonadati; Pseudomonadota; Gammaproteobacteria; Enterobacterales; Enterobacteriaceae.
GGGUUUCCCCCGCCCUGGUAGUCUUAGUAAGCCGGGAAGCUUAUGACUAAGAGCACCACGAUGAUGAUCCACUUCAUCAUGACCC